UGAACUAGAGGAGCUUUAAUCGGCUGAGAGGAGAUUCGUUCUCGACUCUUAUUACCUGAACCGGAUAAUACCGGCGUAGGAAAGUUAUGAAGAAA
Molecule: non-coding RNA, 95 nt
Filed under: uncultured Fusobacterium sp.
Lineage: Bacteria; Fusobacteriati; Fusobacteriota; Fusobacteriia; Fusobacteriales; Fusobacteriaceae
Description: TPP riboswitch (THI element)
Rfam family: TPP riboswitch aptamer (THI element) (bases 3-86)
About the family: Vitamin B(1) in its active form thiamin pyrophosphate (TPP) is an essential coenzyme that is synthesised by coupling of pyrimidine and thiazole moieties in bacteria. The previously detected thiamin-regulatory element, thi box was extended, resulting in a new, highly conserved RNA secondary structure, the THI element, which is widely distributed in eubacteria and also occurs in some archaea. Analysis of operon structures identified a large number of new candidate thiamin-regulated genes, mostly transporters, in various prokaryotic organisms.
Source: RNAcentral